Molecule: long non-coding RNA, 1281 nt
Organism: Mya arenaria
Lineage: Eukaryota; Metazoa; Mollusca; Bivalvia; Myida; Myidae
Exons: 2
Source: RefSeq, a predicted model, not a curated record
UAACACAAAGCGCCAAUCUUAUUCAUUUGACUUACGCUUAGCUUUAGACAGAGGAGGAUUAUAUUUAGACAGGAGAACUAGGUCGCUGUACAAUACUUAAGAUUAAUUUCGGGAAAAUAUGCUUUGUGGUUAAAAAGGUAAAUAACUUUGCUAGAACAUGAAACAAGAUUAUGACAGGGAAUACAUGUUCAGGGUGUUCUAAUAGGUGUAAACUAAAAGAUGCUAGUGAUAUUACACCUGGAACGCAUAUUACUGUACUCGGGGAAUCUCGAUCUCCUAUUACAAGCUCAGAGCUGUACGUCCACCAUGCUGUCGUAAAAGAUGUUGUGUCAAGUGAUAAUGACUCCGUCACGUUAGAAGUUAUUCACGCUACUGGAGUGAAAGACAAUGGCGGAAAUCUUAUACUCAUGGAAAAGAAAACGUAUCGAAUACGUGAUGUUACAAUUAUACGGCAUUCACACAUAUCUCUUGAUAAUAUACUUAAAAACGCAUUAAAUGACUUCAACAACCAAGUGGAGGAACGAGAAUACAACGUUUUAACUAACAACUGUGAACAUAUUGUUCAUAAAUGGUUGGAUACGGAGAAAAAAAGUCAUCAGGUCGAAUGGCUACUGAACAUGCUCAUCCACCAUUUCGGUAAAGUAAUUAUCGUUGGAUGUUCAUAUUGGUGCAAUUUGUAGACAACAACAGUGAACACAUUAUUCAUACAUGCUUUAACAGGCAUAAGAAAAGUCACACUACGAUGGGAAAGCACAGUCUCAGUCCUAUUAAAUGGCAAUAAGGCUCUAUUGGAUAUCUUAUCUAUACUUAAUCAUAUUUGACAUAGUGUCUCUAAGUAAACAUAACAAUCGUUAAUUUCCUCGAGAAGACUUAAAAUCUGAUGUAUGCCAAUUCAUUUCAGAGGAUUGUAUUCAACCGAGAAUGACCAUUGCUGAAAUGUUUUGGUCUAGAUAAAAUGUCUGUGUAAUACAAAUGAAAAUUGCUCAAUUACAGAUGAUUUAUUUGAACAAAAAGAACAAUGCCAAUAAGGCUAUUAUUCUGAUCACAAUCCUAUUUAACAGAUUUACGAACAAUAAUACCAAUUAGUAAUUUAUUCAUGUAUUCAUUUAUUUAUGACCUUUCUUUGUGUAUUUGACCUUUGCACAUGAUCCUUGUGCCUUUUGAACAAUGUCUGUAAGCUCGGCUCGGUAAGCAUAUUUUCUGCAUAGUUCUUCUCUGUUAGUUGCAUUGUUCUAUCUAAUUAGUAUAUAGGCCUUGAUACUAAACUGUUUAUGUACCUAA